UGAAAAGGUGUAUGAAGUGUUACUCGCAAAGUUCAAGUUCAUCUAUUCAGCGUGAAUUCAGAUAAAUUGGAAGUUUAACAACUUGGCAGCAUUUAUCUUCUGACCUGAUGAGUGAAAAGUCUUUAAAUUUAUGUUACAGAGCCCUGACAGUGGAACUGCUUGUUAUAAAUAACAUAACCUCAUUCAUGUUACUUCAUAUAUGAUGGUCAGCAGCAAACAGGAAGCAGGCCCCAAGAAUUCUGAGAUGGUGAACACCUUGGGAUUUCAGAAUUGUAUCGUCUCUCAGGAGAUUUUAACUUAGACAUGUUGGAAACUGAACACUCAUCCUACCUUAAAUCCAUUUUAAACAGUAAACUAUGUUCACAUUACCAUGUGGUUUGAGAUAUGGCUACAGAAAGACACUUGAUUUUCUUGAAACGUGAGAAGUCUUUCUGGAAACAAUGCAUAGAUGUUUCUGUAUAAAGUAUCGAAAAAUAAAAGCCUUUCAGUUGAACAGUUUAUAUUGUGUUUUUAUUAACACAAAGAAGCUUUACAGAAAUCCAAGUAACCAAUUUAAUCAAGCUGAAUGCACCAAUGGCAAAGGAGAAAAAAUUGCAGGAACAUUAGGAAGAAAAGCUGAGAGAAACUUCACUUCACUUCACUGAGAUCAUCUGCUCAUCAUCUUACCUGCUGUUCUACAACAUAUCCAGAAACACUAAAGGUUUCGAAGUGGUUCUUCUGCCCCCUUGUGGUAAACCAUCAGCACUGCAUUGUACAGACCUACCUGAACCAUAGCUUAUUAAAGAAAAACAAUCUACUUUAUACAUCUUUAUACAUCUUAAUUGUGUACUACUACGCACUCUUUGUGACUGGUACCUUACCUUAUGUUUACAUGCUAAUGUGAAUAUAGUGUUCCUUUAAAAGUAUAUUAAUUUAAAGGUUUUUAUUCCUUACUUGUACAAGUAAUCUGGAAGAUAUGUAGAACAUGAUAAAAACAAAAACAAAAACAUAGGAUUAAGUCAUGGCUUUAGCAAAAGUUAAGGACCUUUAAGGACCACUGUUGUACCUUUAAUUAGCUUUUAGAGGAAUACUUUAAAGGUACACUUUAUACACCUUUUCAGGUACAAGAUACAUAACGGUACCAAGUGACAAGCUACAGUUCAGUACCCUUUUUUUUCUCCCCCUGAGUGUGUGUAUUUGAGUGUGUACUUGAGUAUGUACUUGAGUAUGUAGUGCCUGAUUUUUGUAGGAUAGGAACAUCUCAGCUCACAUAUCUCCAUGUUUUUUGUUUGAAACCACCCCAUUAACCCCAACAAUAAUCACACAAGGAAGCAAUUUUUCCAUCAAAUAAAGAAAAGCAGGCAGUUUUACGAGGUUCAAAUGUUUUAUUUCUCAUUGUCAUGAGUGGCAUUUCAAUGGUUCCCACAGCAUAUGACGCAGCAUGCAGAGAUGAAGAGGCCCAAACAAAAAAAAAAAAUUCAACAAAACUCCUAAGA
This is a long non-coding RNA of Pangasianodon hypophthalmus (striped catfish), 1475 nucleotides long. RefSeq lists it as uncharacterized. The transcript has 2 exons. NCBI's taxonomy places the organism in Eukaryota, Metazoa, Chordata, Actinopteri, Siluriformes, Pangasiidae. The record is from RefSeq and is a predicted model, not a curated record.